UUAAGUUCAGCGGGUAUCCCUACCUGAUCCGAGGUCAAAGUGAUAAAAUAGCUUGCUGGGAGGAGACAGGCUGGAGCCGCGACGCAAUGUGCUGCGCACGAAGCCAACUUGCCGGCUGCCAAUGAAUUUGAGGCGAGUCCACGCGCGGAGGCGGAACAAACGCCCAACACCAAGCAGAGCUUGAAGGGUUAAAUGACGCU
Molecule: unclassified non-coding RNA, 200 nt
Filed under: Pleosporales sp.
Lineage: Eukaryota; Fungi; Ascomycota; Dothideomycetes; Pleosporales
Description: partial internal transcribed spacer 2
Source: RNAcentral